UCAAAUGUAUGUUGACGUAUUCUGAAAGGGAUACUUCUUCGGACAAUAUACAAGGUGCUGCAUGGUUGUCGUCAGCUCGUGCCGUGAGGUGUCGGGUUAAGUCCCAUAACGAGCGCAACCCUAUCAUUAGUUGCCAUCAGGUCAAGCUGGGGACUCUAAUGAAACUGCCUACGCAAGUAGUGAGGAAGGUGGGGAUGACGUCAAAUCAGCACGGCCCUUACGUCCAGGGCUACACACGUGCUACAAUGGCCGGUACAAAGGGCAGCUACCUGGUGACAGGAUGCAAAUCUCCAAAGUCGGUCUCAGUUCGGAUCGGAGUCUGCAACCCGACUCCGUGAAGUUGGAUUCGCUAGUAAUCGCGCAUCAGCCAUGGCGCGGUGAAUACGUUCCCGGGCCUU
This 398-nucleotide ribosomal RNA is filed under the name uncultured Sphingobacteriales bacterium. Its description in RNAcentral is "bacterial SSU rRNA". It matches the Rfam family "Bacterial small subunit ribosomal RNA", at positions 981 to 1382 of the family's 1533-position model. Lineage: Bacteria; Pseudomonadati; Bacteroidota; Sphingobacteriia; Sphingobacteriales. The record is from RNAcentral.